GACGAACGCUGGCGGCGUGCUUAACACAUGCAAGUCGAACGGAAAGGCCCUGCUUUUGUGGGGUGCUCGAGUGGCGAACGGGUGAGUAACACGUGAGUAACCUGCCCUUGACUUUGGGAUAACUUCAGGAAACUGGGGCUAAUACCGGAUAGGAGCUCCUGCUGCAUGGUGGGGGUUGGAAAGUUUCGGCGGUUGGGGAUGGACUCGCGGCUUAUCAGCUUGUUGGUGGGGUAGUGGCUUACCAAGGCUUUGACGGGUAGCCGGCCUGAGAGGGUGAACGGCCACAAUGGGACUACGAUACGGCCCAGACUCCUACGGGAGGCAGCAGGGGGGAAUAUUGCACAAUGGGCGGAAGCCUGAUGCAGCAACGCCGCGUGCGGGAUGACGGCCUUCGGGUUGUAAACCGCUUUCGCCUGUGACGAAGCGUGAGUGACGGUAAUGGGUAAAGAAGCACCGGCUAACUACGUG
Molecule: ribosomal RNA, 468 nt
Filed under: uncultured bacterium
Lineage: Bacteria
Description: partial 16S ribosomal RNA
Rfam family: Bacterial small subunit ribosomal RNA
Source: RNAcentral